Molecule: ribosomal RNA, 253 nt
Filed under: uncultured bacterium
Lineage: Bacteria
Description: partial 16S ribosomal RNA
Rfam family: Bacterial small subunit ribosomal RNA
Source: RNAcentral
GACGGAGGAUGCAAGCGUUAUCCGGAAUGAUUGGGCGUAAAGCGUCCGCAGGUGGCAGUUCAAGUCUGCUGUCAAAGACCGGGGCUUAACCUCGGAAAGGCAGUGGAAACUACAAGGCUAGAGUGCGUUCGGGGCAGAGGGAAUUCCUGGUGUAGCGGUGAAAUGCGUAGAGAUCAGGAAGAACAUCGGUGGCGAAGGCGCUUUGCUGGACCAUAACUGACACUCAGGGACGAAAGCUAGGGGAGCGAAUGGG